AAUCAACGCUGGCGGCGUGCCUAACACAUGCAAGUCGAACGAGAAAGGGGACUUCGGUCCCUGAGUACAGUGGCGCACGGGUGAGUAACACGUGACUUAUCUACCCUCGAGUGGGGAAUAACUUCGGGAAACCGAGGCUAAAUACCGCAUAAUACCCACGGGUCAAAGGAGCAAUUCGCUUGAGGAGGAGGUCGCGGCCCGAUUAGUUAGUUGGCGGGGUAAUGGCCCCCACCAAGACGGUGAUCGGUAUCCGGCCUGAGAGGGCGCACGGACACACUGGAACUGAAACACGGUCCAGACUCCUACGGGAGGCAGCAGUGGGGAAUUUUGCGCAAUGGGGGAAACCCUGACGCAGCAACGCCGCGUGGAGGAUGAAGUCUCUUGGGACGUAAACUCCUUUCGAUCGGGACGAUUAUGACGGUACCGGAAGAAGAAGCCCCGGCUAACUUCGUG
This 453-nucleotide ribosomal RNA is filed under the name uncultured bacterium. RNAcentral's name for it is "bacterial SSU rRNA". It matches the Rfam family "Bacterial small subunit ribosomal RNA", at positions 32 to 507 of the family's 1533-position model. The record is from RNAcentral.